Molecule: ribosomal RNA, 330 nt
Filed under: uncultured eukaryote
Lineage: Eukaryota
Description: partial 18S ribosomal RNA
Rfam family: Eukaryotic small subunit ribosomal RNA
Source: RNAcentral
CCCUUAGAUGUUCUGGGCUGCACGCGCGCUACACUGAUGCGCUCAACGAGUUUACGAACUUGCCCGGAAGGGUUGGUUAAUCUUUUUAAAACGCAUCGUGAUGGGGAUAGAUUAUUGCAAUUAUUAAUCUUCAACGAGGAAUCCCUAGUAAGUGCAGGUCAUCAGCUUGCGCUGAUUACGUCCCUGCCCUUUGUACACACCGCCCGUCGCUGCCCGGAACUGAGCCAUUUCGAGAAAAAUGGGGACAGACUGCUUGUGGGUGCGCAAGCACUUCUUGCAGAUUGAAACCAUCUUGAUCGGUAUGGCUUGAACCGGGCAAAAGUCGUAACA